This is a long non-coding RNA of Crotalus tigris (Tiger rattlesnake), 268 nucleotides long. RefSeq lists it as uncharacterized. Lineage: Eukaryota; Metazoa; Chordata; Lepidosauria; Squamata; Viperidae. The record is from RefSeq and is a predicted model, not a curated record. The transcript is spliced from 3 exons.
GACACAUCUCUCUUAAUCUCAGUUAUACUCGGAGGUACAUUCAGAAAGAACAUUAAGAUACUUCUUCGAAGCUCUUGCGUCAAUUUUUAAGCUGAUUAAAUCAGUGAAACUGAAGCCCCAAAAUGUAGGCGUUCCAGAUCCUUCCCGGGAUUAAAGACCUGUCUGCUACCCUCGGCGGAUCCGUGACUGGAGUGCUUCGCUGACGGAUAUCCAGCCCCCCAAAGGACGUCCUCUCAGUGGGGUAUAAAUAAGCGCCCGCUGCCCUCCU